RNAcentral lists this ribosomal RNA (435 nucleotides) under uncultured bacterium. RNAcentral's name for it is "partial 16S ribosomal RNA". It matches the Rfam family "Bacterial small subunit ribosomal RNA", at positions 28 to 507 of the family's 1533-position model. The record is from RNAcentral.
GAUGAACGCUGGCGGUAUGCUUAACACAUGCAAGUCGAACGGACUCUUCGGAGUUAGUGGCGGACGGGUGAGUAACGCGUGAGAAUCUGGCUUUGGGUUCGGGACAACCACUGGAAACGGUGGCUAAUACCGGAUGUGCCGAGAGGUAAAAGAGAAAUUGCCUGAAGAUGAGCUCGCGUCUGAUUAGCUAGUUGGUGAGGUAAAGGCUCACCAAGGCAGCGAUCAGUAGCUGGUCUGAGAGGAUGACCAGCCACACUGGGACUGAGACACGGCCCAGACUCCCACGGGAGGCAGCAGUGGGGAAUUAUCCGCAAUGGGCGAAAGCCUGACGAAGCAAUACCGCGUGAGGGAAGAAGGCUCUUGGGUUGUAAACCUCUUUUCUUAGGGAAGAACAAAAUGACGGUACCUAAGGAAUCAGCAUCGGCUAACUCCGUG